Pan troglodytes (chimpanzee) is the source of this 620-nucleotide long non-coding RNA. RefSeq lists it as uncharacterized. The transcript is spliced from 6 exons. The record is from RefSeq and is a predicted model, not a curated record. Lineage: Eukaryota; Metazoa; Chordata; Mammalia; Primates; Hominidae.
GAUUUGCCCAACAUAAUGAAUUGGAGAGGAGCGGUGGGGCACGAUUCAGUCCACUGCACACGUUCUCCUCUCCAGACCUCUCACUGGGAGCUUGUCAUUGCCUGGAAGAGUGCUGGGCACACAAUAGUAUGAUCAGCUCGUCGAAAGAAUGAAUCAAUGACACUCUGUCUUCGUGGAGAGCAGCCUGGGUGUGGAAUCAGGCACCCCCGGGUUCAAAGCCAUCACUGUUAAACAGCUGAAUGCUUUCAUUCAUUGGAGAGGAGCAACCAGAUUAUCUAAUUAUAGUUAUACUGCAAGAUACAAACAGCUUGUAAGCUGAAACGUUCCAAAAGGCGAACUCACAAAGAGUGGGACUCACCGACCUGAGGGUUUGCCAGCACACUCGUAGCCCGUGGGACUAGAGUAUUUGUGAGAGAGGAGCAUGGUCUUUUGAUUGAAGAACGGAAGUCAUUCGUGAAGGACACAGCACACACAGCCCAGAGAGCUCGCAGGUUAAAACUGGGCAUGGAGCAAUGUCUGCCAGCCAUUCAGGGGACUUCAAAAUAGGUCAGAAUACAUUUCCAGAAAGUGACACCAUCUUUUUGGGUUUGGGUAUAAUAAUAAAUCUAGGGGAUAAGAAC